GACGAACGCUGGCGGCGUGCUUAACACAUGCAAGUCGAACGAAGAGCGAUGGAAGCUUGCUUCUAUCAAUCUUAGUGGCGAACGGGUGAGUAACGCGUAAUCAACCUGCCCUUCAGAGGGGGACAACAGUUGGAGACGACUGCUAAUACCGCAUACGAUCUAAUCUCGGCAUCGAGGAUAGAUGAAAGGUGGCCUCUACAUGUAAGCUAUCACUGAAGGAGGGGAUUGCGUCUGAUUAGCUAGUUGGAGGGGUAACGGCCCACCAAGGCGAUGAUCAGUAGCCGGUCUGAGAGGAUGAACGGCCACAUUGGGACUGAGACACGGCCCAGACUCCUACGGGAGGCAGCAGUGGGGAAUCUUCCGCAAUGGACGAAAGUCUGACGGAGCAACGCCGCGUGAGCGAUGACGGCCUUCGGGUUGUAAAGCUCUGUUAAUCGGGACGAAAGGCCUUCUUGCGAAUAGUGAGAAGGAUUGACGGUACCGGAAUAGAAAGCCACGGCUAACUACGUG
Molecule: ribosomal RNA, 510 nt
Filed under: uncultured bacterium
Lineage: Bacteria
Description: partial 16S ribosomal RNA
Rfam family: Bacterial small subunit ribosomal RNA
Source: RNAcentral